Melopsittacus undulatus (budgerigar) is the source of this 4304-nucleotide RNA transcript. It is a transcript of the gene named double PHD fingers 3, with no coding region annotated. The transcript has 12 exons. The record is from RefSeq and is a predicted model, not a curated record. NCBI's taxonomy places the organism in Eukaryota, Metazoa, Chordata, Aves, Psittaciformes, Psittaculidae.
UUCUGUUACAUUGUAGCAAAAUGGCGACUGUCAUUCACAACCCCCUGAAAGCACUCGGGGACCAGUUCUACAAAGAAGCAAUCGAGCACUGUCGUAGCUACAACUCUCGGCUGUGUGCUGAGCGCAGCGUCCGCCUUCCCUUCCUGGAUUCACAAACGGGGGUAGCUCAGAACAACUGCUACAUCUGGAUGGAGAAGAGACACAGGGGACCAGGCCUGGCCCCAGGUCAGCUGUACACGUACCCAGCACGUUGCUGGCGCAAAAAGAGGCGUUUGCAUCCCCCGGAGGAUUCCAGGCUGAAGCUGUUGGAAAUUAAACCUGAAGUUGAUCUGCCCCUGAAGAAGGAUGGGUUCACCUCAGAAAGUACAACUCUGGAAGCCUUGCUGCGUGGAGAGGGAAUAGAGAAAAAAACAGACACUAAAGAGGAAGACACUAUACAAGAAAUCCAGAGGGUUUUAGAAAAUGAUGAAAAUGCAGAUGAAGUGAAUGAGGAAGAGGAUUUGGAAGAAGAUAUUCCAAAACGAAAGAACAGGCCUAGAGGACGGCCAAAGACCCCCACCUGGAAAAAAAUUUUCCAGAAAAAUGCUCGGGGAUCUGGAGGAGGCAGGAGACGGAAUGAUGCUGCCUCCCAGGAUGAUCAUGACAAACCCUAUGUUUGUGACAAUAGUUACAAACAAAAGCAUAACUCAAAAAUCUCCGACAAAGUCUGUGGCAAGCGUUACAAGAACAGGCCUGGGCUGAGCUACCACUAUGCUCACACCCAUCUUGCCAGUGAAGAGGGUGAUGAAGCUCGCGAGCAGGAGACCCGCUCUUCCCCUGUCCACAGAAAUGAAAACCACAAGCCCCAGAAAGGACCAGAUGGGGUCAUCAUUCCCAAUAACUACUGUGACUUCUGCCUUGGAGGCUCCAAUAUGAACAAAAAGAGUGGCCGGCCAGAGGAACUUGUAUCAUGCUCAGACUGUGGGCGCUCUGCUCAUUUGGGAAGAGAAGGCAGGAGGGACGAAGCAGCGCCAGCACGCACUACGGAGGACUUGUUCGGUUCCACGUCAGAAAGCGACACCUCGACCUUUCAUGGCUUUGACGAGGACGAUGCAGAAGAGCCUCUCUCAAACCGAGGAGGCGGCUGUGGUGGCAGCUCUCCCUCUGCAAACAAAAAGGGCAGCUGCUAAAAUAACUAAAAAGACACACAAACUUUGAGCGAUUUGCUGUCUUUUUUACUACUAGAAUUGUUAUCAGCUUUUAUUUUAUAAUUUUUUUAAUUUUAGGUCCUUGGGUUUUUUUUUGUUUGUUUUUGUUGGGUUUUUUUUUGUUAUUUUUGUUUUUUUUUCCUGUAGGGUGUACACUGAAAGCACAAGUGUUUAAAGCUCUUGACAACUACUUUGAAGAGACAGAAAGUUUUGAUUUUCCUGUUAUGUUUUUCAUUUUAAUUUGUUUUUCUCCCACCUCUCCCCUUCUCUUUCUCUCUGGAAAUGUAAAAGGUGGAUUUAAUAUUUUUUUUAAUAGUGAGCAGAGUUGAUUUUCUUGUCUUUUAAUAUAUAUAUCAGCAAACCACAAAAAAUACAGAUGGGUUGGAGAGCAGAAAGCAAACCCAAAUAGUUUUUUUUAAUUAUUAUUAUUAUUUAUAUAUUCUAAAUAUUAUUAGAAAAACUACUUUUUAAAUAAAAAUAGAAAAAACUACAAAAACAAAAAAGCAAUGGAUGUCUACUUGAUAAUAGAACUGUUUCUAGAGAACCAAUGUGGGCGGACUCUAUCGGGGGACAAAGAAACCCUUGAUGUGAUGGCUUCUGCAUUUUGAGAUUUUGCACUUACUGUAGCAUGUGGAGUUUGGCUACACUUGUCUUUAACAGUCUGAAAACACAAGCAGCAUCACUGAAGACCAUGACCUUGGGGAACACAUUUCCAUCCCUCCUUUGGACACCUUUGCACUCAAUAGAUCUCUUCCUCCUUGCACCCCUUCAUGUCUUCCUCACUCCGUUCUACUUUUUAUUUUUUCCUUUUCCUCCACCUUUCACUUCAUGGACAACAAUUUCCAAGCAUAGGGAUGGAAUAUGAAUGGCAAAUCGUAAACGUCAAAGACAAAACAGCUGGAGGAGCAGAAUCAUGGAAGAAAUUACAUGGAAAAAUACCUCACCUGUACUUUUCUUUCCAUUUUUAAAUUUCAAUUCACAGUAUUUUUUCCUGUGUCGCCCAGUUUUUUCUCUCUUGCAGUAUCUUGUGGGACACUUUUUUUGCUUUUCAAUAGCUUCUUUGAAAUAAACCAAAGCAAUACUAAUUAAAGUUCCAAGGGCAAUGGAGAAGAGUGGCUCCCUUCCCAGCGACUUUCUCAGAAAGGAGGAAACAUGCAGCAGGAUUUGAAAGUCAGCUGUGCCCUCAUGGAUUCCAGUAUCCUUCAAGCAAGACAUUUCAGAAGAAGGCCGAAAGAAGUCAAAAUGCUUUGAUACUUCUCCUCUCCUUGCCCUGACCUUCCAUAUCCGUGUUUCAUCUGGCACAGGAGCCUGGACUGUGGGAAGUUGGCUGCCAACAGCUGAGAGAAGUUCUGGGGAUGCCCUAAGCUGGUGCAAUACAAAGAAGUUUUUUAAAGUCUUGAUUUCACUUUCUUUUAAGCGUGUGUAUAAACCCAGGUCAAACUGGAAUUGAUCUACAGUAGAACUGACUGAAAAACAAACAAACUGAAAAAAGACUUAACUAUUUUAUUUAUUUCGAUAUUUAAGAAAGAAAAGAAGUGCUGAAGUUGCACAGUAUUUUUGUUUUAAAUACAUUUUACUUCAAAUUUUAGAUGCAAUUUUGUGAAGACAUGAAAUUUUAAAAAGCACUUAAUGUAAAAUAAAGACUGAAUAUUUACUUUAAGGAAAAAACUUUUUAAAAUAAUGAAAAUAAAGAUCAACUCUGCUCUCUCUCUUACUUUAAAGAAGCCAUUCAUACAUGUGCUGGGUAUCUUUGUUUUUUGCAAAUUGGAUGUGGUAAGUGAUGAUUGUUCUGGUUUACUUUCUCCUUAAUCAUAAUAUCCUGUUAGAUGCUUGAAACUUACUUUGCUGUACUGUUAGGCACAGAUCUGAACAAAAAACCUGUUGAAAUAGCAAAGAUCAGGCUCAGUGGCUGGAUUUUUUUGUUACCAGAUUUUGUGUCCCAUUUUAAGGACUGUCUUCUCCCAGUAAGAUUGAUAUAUCUCUUCUGCACAGUAAGAGAGGUUUGCUCUUCAGCAACUUUGAAAUACUUCUGCUGAAAGAGGGGUUUAAAAAAGGAGAACAACACUGUUAAUUUUAGGUUUGUUUUUUUCAUUUUUGGUAAUUCCACAGCUGAUUGUGAGUUGGUUAUAAGGAAAGUACCUAAAUGUCAGGUGCUCUUGGCACAGAUCUUCCUAUUGGAGUCAAGGAUGAUGCCAUCUGUAGAAGUCUUGUGUAUUUUAGCUCUUUCUGAAUUGGUAGUGGACUUUGAAAAGUGUACAGGUGCACCCAUAUGUCAGCAGUGAGCAAAAGGGUGACAGUCAGCAGAAGAAUGUGAGUUCCCAUAGCUACAAUCCUAAAUUGUCCUAUGAGGAAGUGGUGAGGGAUGUUCACAUCCCAAAUCCUAAGUUGUUAGCCAUCUUAGUGAAAUAAGGUGUUCUGUUUCUUACAGUGAAAAGCACAGGACCAUUCACUGUCACGUGUGAUACAGUCUCGUAAGACUGGAGGAUAGCCUUGUGUUCUAGGUGAAAGGUAUUGUACUUGGCUCUGAGAUUAGCUUCUCCUCUGUAACAGGGGUGCCAGACAUACCUAUUGAUAUACACCCAGGGUAUAGGAAGGGAAAGUGGUUUUGUUAAUGUGGCUUGUGUUGGGGUUUGGAAUGAAAAAAACUAUGUCUAAUAAAAAUGCAUCCUGACCAGGUGAAGCUGCCAGAGAACCUCAUCCUGCACAUCCUGGUUUCUUGCACACCUGAAACUCAAGCUCACCUUGUUGAGAGGUUUCCGUGUAUCACUAGCAACAGAUUUUGUCCUCUUCUCCCUUCCCCUUCUCCUUCUUCUUCCCAGAUUAACACAUAAGGCCAGAAAUAAAUGUGUAAGAAGUCUGGUAGACCUGAGUCCUGCUCCCACUAAGUUGAAUGACAAAAUUUAUGUCCUAAUUGGGCUCUUUAGCAGGAUUAUUUUGUUUUGUCAUUUGCUGGUUUCUAAACUGGCAGUAGUGAACUGCCUCCAGAGAAAAAAGAAAUCAAAUUUUAUCUCGUCAAAAUAUAACAAGACGCACAACUGUAAUGAAGACUUGCAAACUGUAGGGUCUUGUGUUCAUUUUGUGUAAUAUUCCUUCCAAAUAAAAGUUCUGCUUCCAACA